CCUACGGGAGGCAGCAGUGGGGAAUUUUGGACAAUGGGCGCAAGCCUGAUGCAGCCAUGCCGCGUGUAUGAAGAAGGCCUUCGGGUUGUAAAGUACUUUCAGCGGGGAGGAAGGCGGUGAGGUUAAUAACCUCGCCGAUUGACGUUACCCGCAGAAGAAGCACCGGCUAACUCCGUGCCAGCAGCCGCGGUAAU
Molecule: ribosomal RNA, 194 nt
Filed under: uncultured bacterium
Lineage: Bacteria
Description: partial 16S ribosomal RNA
Rfam family: Bacterial small subunit ribosomal RNA
Source: RNAcentral